RNAcentral lists this ribosomal RNA (613 nucleotides) under uncultured Actinomycetes bacterium. Its description in RNAcentral is "bacterial SSU rRNA". It matches the Rfam family "Bacterial small subunit ribosomal RNA", at positions 76 to 687 of the family's 1533-position model. The record is from RNAcentral. Lineage: Bacteria; Bacillati; Actinomycetota; Actinomycetes.
CAGCUUGCUGGGUUGGAUGAGUGGCGAACGGGUGAGUAACACGUGAGUAACCUGCCCCCUUCUUUGGGAUAACGGUCGGAAACGGCUGCUAAUACCGGGUAUUCACUGUCCUUCGCAUGGGGGGUGGUGGAAAGGUUUUUUCUGGUGGGGGAUGGGCUCGCGGCCUAUCAGCUUGUUGGUGGGGUGAUGGCUUACCAAGGCUUUGACGGGUAACCGGCCUGAGAGGGUGACCGGUCACAUUGGGACUGAGAUACGGCCCAGACUCCUACGGGAGGCAGCAGUGGGGAAUAUUGCACAAUGGGCGAAAGCCUGAUGCAGCGACGCCGCGUGAGGGAUGACGGCCUUCGGGUUGUAAACCUCUUUCGCUCAUGGUCAAGCCGCAACAGUGGUUGUGGUGAGGGUAGUGGGUGAAGAAGCACCGGCUAACUACGUGCCAGCAGCCGCGGUAAUACGUAGGGUGCGAGCGUUGUCCGGAAUUAUUGGGCGUAAAGGGCUUGUAGGCGGUUUGUCGCGUCUGCCGUGAAAUCCUCUGGCUUAACUGGGGGCGUGCGGUGGGUACGGGCAGGCUUGAGUGCGGUAGGGGAGGCUGGAACUCCUGGUGUAGCGGUGGAAU